ACCUGACUCAUUGGUGGGUUUACAUUCUUCCAAAAUGCAUGACUGGAAUCGUGGUUAGAAGGCUGUACUCAGACUGCUUUCGUCCAAUGAUCAGAUUUGUGUCUGUCAGGCUGUCACAGAAUGAGACCUGGGCUCCCACAGCUCCUCUUAACACACGUGGCAGGUGCCUCCGGAUCAUAUAUGUGGAUGUCACAACAGUGUCAUAUUACAAAAUCUCCACGGAAGUAUUUUCAGUUCUCGUACUUGCCUUGCCACAGGCCAGGAAGAGAUGGUUGCUGUCUGUAGUGAGGGUGGACUGUCCUAUCAGCAUCUUUUGGACCGUCUCCCAAGCCUGCAGCACCAGCGUCAUUUGAGGAUUUGUACCAAAUGCAAAUUCUCAAACCCUAAGAGGAAGUGAGGAAAUCAGGAACUUAGAAGCUGAGCCCUACCACUUGGGACUUCCGCUGGCUUUCCAGCACCGUGAGGAGUCUGCCAUAUUGGAGAACUGUUUUCACACAACUGGGCCAGGAGAAAGGCCGACAUCAGGAGGUCCAUGGAGCUGUGACUAGAAGGACAUUAAAGUAAUGAGGAAAUUCCAGUUAUGGACACCUUGAGCAGCGAUCACCAAGAUUAUGAUUAGGCCAGUCAUUCCCCUGAAUACCUCACAGAGCUAAAGCCGAAAAGAAGGGACCCGGGACAAAGAAAAGAUCAGGAGAGCAAUCGGCUUCAGGAUGGGGAGAGAGGAGAGCGGUUGAGAGAAUUCUGCUUCCUCUUGGGGAAAGGGGAUGUUUUGAAACUGAAGUGCUGUGUGGACCGGAUCCGCCUCUCUAAGCCAUGCAGCAGAGGAGAAACCAUUGCCAGUUAUGUCAACGGCAGGAGCAGCAAUGUUAUUUUUGUGACUAAAGCUCUUCCCCAAUAAAAAGGGGGGGGGGCAUUUUACUUUCUCUCCAUUCUUUUAUCCCACCAAGCCCCUCUUGUCAACCACAAAGAAUACAAUACCAAACGGCCCCAUCGGACACUUCCAUCAUUGAAAGCAGUCUUGUUGCUGUGUUACUUAAAAUAUACAGUAGAAGACAAGCUAUUUGGAGUGGGUAGCAUGUCACCUGACACAACUCUGGGCAGACAUUUUCAUGCCAGGAGUGGGAGCAGAGAAAGGAGCUGCACCUCAGGCUGAAAAGCAAAGUACACUCCCAGGAGGCGUCCGGUCCACUCUAGUGCCAAUGAGUAGUGUUUUCCUGUUCUUGUUGGCGACCAGUUUCUCAAAACGGAAAUGCUACAGCAGAGGCCUGAAGAACGUAUUCACAAGUACAGAUGCUCCUCGGUUUACAACGGGACUAUGUCCCCAACAAAACCAUUGUAAGCUGAAAAUACCAUGAAUCAAAAUUACACGUGUACACGAAACUAUGAAAUACCAGUAGGCAAGAUCCACCAACAUGUUGUCGAGUUUAUGAUAACUAUAUUAUAGUUCGUGAGAUGGACUCAGUACUGGAUCAUAAAUAAAAUACAGGCCUGUGGUUUCAGCGUAAGAUUUCAGAGGACAGGGCUGUCACACAAGCAAAGGAUUCAACACAUGGACUGGACGUGUG
Molecule: long non-coding RNA, 1565 nt
Organism: Mus musculus (house mouse)
Lineage: Eukaryota; Metazoa; Chordata; Mammalia; Rodentia; Muridae
Product: predicted gene, 31686
Exons: 4
Source: RefSeq, a predicted model, not a curated record